UGGGGAAUUUUGCGCAAUGGGGGAAACCCUGACGCAGCAACGCCGCGUGGAGGAUGAAGUCCCUUGGGACGUAAACUCCUUUCGACCGGGACGAUAAUGACGGUACCGGAAGAAGAAGCCCCGGCUAACUUCGUGCCAGCAGCCGCGGUAAUACGAGGGGGGCGAGCGUUGUUCGGAAUUAUUGGGCGUAAAGGGUGCGUAGGCGGUUCGGUAAGUUUUGUGUGAAAUCUUCGGGCUCAACUCGAAGCCUGCACAAAAUACUGCCGGGCUUGAGUGUGGGAGAGGUGAGUGGAAUUUCCGGUGUAGCGGUGAAAUGCGUAGAUAUCGGAAGGAACACCUGUGGCGAAAGCGGCUCACUGGACCACAACUGACGCUGAUGCACGAAAGCUAGGGGAGCAAACAGGAUUAGAUACCCCCGUAGUCC
Molecule: ribosomal RNA, 424 nt
Filed under: uncultured bacterium
Lineage: Bacteria
Description: bacterial SSU rRNA
Rfam family: Bacterial small subunit ribosomal RNA
Source: RNAcentral